Pongo abelii (Sumatran orangutan) is the source of this 148-nucleotide unclassified non-coding RNA. It matches the Rfam family "Metazoan signal recognition particle RNA". Rfam says of the family: The signal recognition particle (SRP) is a universally conserved ribonucleoprotein. The record is from Ensembl. Lineage: Eukaryota; Metazoa; Chordata; Mammalia; Primates; Hominidae.
GCCAGGCACGGUGGUGCGUGUCUGUAAUCCCAGCUACUUGGGAGGCAGAGGUGGGAGGAUGGCUUGAGCCUGGGAGGUGGAUGUUACAGUGUGCUGAGAUGACACCACUGCACCCCAGCCUGGGCAAUAGAGCCAGACCCUGUCUCAA